RNAcentral lists this ribosomal RNA (1077 nucleotides) under uncultured Basidiomycota. RNAcentral's name for it is "eukaryotic LSU rRNA". The stretch from base 390 to 1077 matches the Rfam family "Eukaryotic large subunit ribosomal RNA", at positions 1 to 664 of the family's 3401-position model. Lineage: Eukaryota; Fungi; Basidiomycota. The record is from RNAcentral.
AUCGAUGAAGAACGCAGCGAAAUGCGAUACGUAAUGUGAAUUGCAGAAUUCAGUGAAUCAUCGAAUCUUUGAACGCACCUUGCGCCCCUUGGCAUUCCGAGGGGCACACCCGUUUGAGUGUCGUGAAAUUCUCAAAACCCUUUCUUUUGGUCAUUUUUGACCAUUGAAAGGAUUUUGGACUUGGAGGCCUUUUUGCUGGUUUCACCUUGAAGCGAGCUCCUCCCAAAUGUAUUAGUGGGGUCUGCAUUGUCGGUCCUUGGCGUGAUAAGUUGUUUCUACGUCUUGGAUUUUUGGCGCUGUACACCUGCUUCUAACCGUCUCAUUGACAACGAUGGUGUUUCGGUCGCCGCCGAUUUUUCGGUGGGAGGCUUGACCCACGAAACAAACCUUGACCUCAAAUCGGGUGAGACUACCCGCUGAACUUAAGCAUAUCAAUAAGCGGAGGAAAAGAAACUAACAAGGAUUCCCCUAGUAACUGCGAGUGAAGCGGGAAAAGCUCAAAUUUAAAAUCUGGUGGCCUCUGGUCAUCCGAGUUGUAAUUUAGAGAAGCGUCUUCCGCGCUGGACCGUGCACAAGUCUCCUGGAAUGGAGCGUCAUAGAGGGUGAGAAUCCCGUCUUUGGCACGGAUCCCGGGGCUUUUGUGAUGCGCUCUCGAAGAGUCGAGUUGUUUGGGAAUGCAGCUCAAAAUGGGUGGUGAACUCCAUCUAAAGCUAAAUAUUGGCGAGAGACCGAUAGCGAACAAGUACCGUGAGGGAAAGAUGAAAAGCACUUUGGAAAGAGAGUGAAACAGUACGUGAAAUUGUUGAAAGGGAAACGCUUGAAGUCAGUCGCGUCGUCCGAGACUCAGCCUCGCCUCGGCUUGGUGUACUUCUCGACCGACGGGUCAGCAUCAAUUUCGCCCCUUGGAUAAUGGCGUGGGAAAUGUGGCACCUUUGCGGGUGCGUUAUAGUCCCUCGUCGCAUGCAAGGGUCGGGAUUGAGGAACUCAGCACGCGCCUUUCGGCGUCGGGGUUUUUGCCCACGAUACGUGCUUAGGAUGUUGGCGUAAUGGCUUUAAACGACCCGUCUUGAAACACGG